UGAGGAAUAUUGGUCAAUGGGCGAGAGCCUGAACCAGCCAAGUAGCGUGCAGGAUGACGGCCCUAUGGGUUGUAAACUGCUUUUAUGUGGGGAUAAAGUGCGUGACGUGUCAUGCAUUGCAGGUACCACAUGAAUAAGGACCGGCUAAUUCCGUGCCAGCAGCAGCGGUAAUACGGAAGGUCCGGGCGUUAUCCGGCUUUAUUGGGUUUAAAGGGAGCGUAGGCUGUCUAUUAAGCGUGUUAUGAAAUAUACCGGCUCAACCGGUGGCUUGCAGCGCGAACUGGUCGAAUUGAGUAUGCAGGAAGUAGGCGGAAUUCAUGGUGUAGCGGUGAAAUGCUUAGAUAUCAUGACGAACUCCGAUUGCGCAGGCAGCUUACUGUAGCAUAACUGACGCUGAUGCUCGAAAGUGCGGGUAUCAAACAGG
RNAcentral lists this ribosomal RNA (424 nucleotides) under Verrucomicrobiota bacterium. RNAcentral's name for it is "Verrucomicrobia bacterium partial 16S ribosomal RNA". It matches the Rfam family "Bacterial small subunit ribosomal RNA", at positions 355 to 776 of the family's 1533-position model. The record is from RNAcentral. Lineage: Bacteria; Pseudomonadati; Verrucomicrobiota.